ACCUGGCUCAAUCUGCAGACUUCUAUAUAGCUCUGCGUGGCUUGUACACUCUGAUCCUGAUGUGCUUCCUCUGUGUGUUCAGCUCUGAUUUCCUGUUCUCUUUCUUUCCCCAUCUUCAAUUUCAAGUCAAUUUCGUCAAUUUCAUGCUCAAUUCCUUUCCUGUUCGUUGAAUCAAUUUCUUCGAUUUCACUCUCAAUUUCUUUCUCAAUUUCACGUCUUCUUCUUCGAUUCCAAAACUCUCAUCUUUCUUCUGUGAUUGUUAGACAAAUUCCUCUUCUGAGGUUUCUUUGACAUUCUAUUUUUCUGCAUCAAUGGCGGCUUCGUCUCUCAAAAUUGAAGGAUUGCUAGGAAUGGUUACUCUACGUCUGAAAGAUUAUAAUUUCUUGAAAUGGCGGUAUCAGCUUGAAUCUGUCCUGGAAGGUUAUGAUCUUUUCGGCCAUUUCGAUGGAUCUACCAUUGCUCCCCCAAAAGUUGCUAUUUUGGAUGAAGAAGGAGUCAUCUCAAAGGUUACAGCGGAUAAGGAGUGGCUUCGGGCUGAUAAAGCGUUAUUGAGCUUUCUGAUUGCAACACUCUCGGACGACCCGAUUGAAUAUGUUAUCGGCAGUAAAACGGCUCAUGAUGCUUGGUUGAGCCUCUCCGAUCGCUAUGCCACCGUGUCUCGUGCUCGAAUCAAUCAUCCCAAGACUGAGUUAUCGAUAAAUUUCUCCUGCGUCUAUACAUAUCAAGGAUCAGUUGUCUGUUAUUGGAGUUUCAAUUUCGGAUGAUCAUCUCAUGAUUGCAGCCCUCAAUGGAUUACCUUUCAGCUCUUCAUACUCCUAUGGUGGCCAUGAUUGGUCAUACUUCUUCUGGCUCUCUCAAUGCAGGCGCUGGUAUCCUUCCCACUCCCUCGACUGUUCCUAUAUCUCCUUCUGGUCUUCAUGCCAAUGCUCAGCCCUCUAGUUCUAUGUCUAAUUCUUUCGGCAGAGGACGGUUUUCUGGUAAUCGAUCUUUUCCUCCUCGUGGAGGUUUUCAAGGCUCCAGACCGUCUCAUGAUGUUUUCCAAAGAUUGGUGUUGUGCCAGAAUGCCAAAUUUGCAACAAGUGUGGAUAUACUGCUGUCAACUGCUACUGUAGGAAUGUUUCUCCUUAACACUCAGCCUCAUCAUCUGUUAUUGAGUGUCAAAUCUGUGGGAAACGUGGCCAUGGUGCUUUGGAUUGCUUUCAUCGCUCAAACGACGUGUAUCAAGGUUCCUCUCCUCCUAAAUCUGUCAUUGCAAUGACAACUCAAACCUCGUUUUCUCCUGAAACAUUCUGGAUAGCUGAUAGUGGUACCAGUCAUCACAUGGUGCUGUUGAUCAAUUGGAUUCUGUAAAUCCAUGUACUUUUCUGCAGAUCAAGUUAUUAUUGGCAAUGGGGACAAAGCAACAAACCAAGUUCUUCUCAGGGGCAGGAGCAAUAAAGGCAUAUAUCCUAUACCUAGUGCAGUUUCUCCAGUCAAUUCUUCUUCUCUAGCUGAAGGUUCUUUUUCUCCAGCUACUGCUUAUGUGGGCCAACAAAUCAAAUCAUCUAUGUGGCAUAAUAGGUUAGGGCAUUCCACUAAUGAGGUAGUUCAGACUAUGCUUAAAACCUCUCAAUUACCAGUUCUUGUAGAUGCUCAUCAGCAUAUUUGCCCUUACUGUUUAAGUGGUAAAAUGCACACCUUACCCUUUCCAUCUACUCAUGUUAAGUCUUUAGUGCCAUUUCAAAGAAUCCAUAGUGAUCUUUGGGGACCCUCUCCGUGUAAAUCCUAUGAUGGAUACAGAUAGGUAGUGACCUUUAUUGAUGAGUUUACUGGAUAUUCUUGGAUAUUUCCAUUAUUCAAUAAAUUUAAGACCUUCUCAAAGUU
Prunus dulcis (almond) is the source of this 1863-nucleotide long non-coding RNA. RefSeq lists it as uncharacterized. The transcript is spliced from 2 exons. The record is from RefSeq and is a predicted model, not a curated record. NCBI's taxonomy places the organism in Eukaryota, Viridiplantae, Streptophyta, Magnoliopsida, Rosales, Rosaceae.